RNAcentral lists this long non-coding RNA (25541 nucleotides) under Eucalyptus grandis. RNAcentral's name for it is "long non-coding RNA (EGRA_LNC005698)". The record is from RNAcentral. Lineage: Eukaryota; Viridiplantae; Streptophyta; Magnoliopsida; Myrtales; Myrtaceae.
CAGAGGGCCAUGAAUCCAGGGAGCUAAGUUAAGCUGCUCAUGACAGCGAAAUUGCACCAUAAUAUGAAGUACUUUCACGACACCGUCAUCGUGAAUAAAUAAAGAAGCUGAGUGAAGUCAGUCACUUGAUGGAGCCUUGUUUCAAUACCUAAAAACGAAUUAAGGAUGAAUAAUAUGUAGAAGAUGCAAGUUAAUGUAUGAAACAAUAAAGCAAUGAAUGAAUCGUCUAGUUUACGGUAUGUAUCUUUUGAAAGGAAAAGGGAACAGCGACAGAGCUUGUCACAGGCUUCAUCUUCUCUUUCAAAUUGCGAUAUGAUGAAUUAUCUAGAUGUAAGUGCAAUGAAGUGCUUGUCUAAUCUGUGAAAGUAGCUUCCAAGAGUUCCUGAAUUUCUUGCCUGCCUGUGAUUUUCUUCAUCGAGGAUGGAGAAGUAUCUGUCUCAUCUCUGUUUUCACCACGAAUUUUUCAUAUCUUAGCUUAUUUUGAAAACAAAUAGGUGUGGCUGUUUGGAAGGGAAUGAUUAAUAAGGCAAUCUGUAGCAUUCGUCGCUAAAGAGUAAAGAGUAUAAACUAUGAUAAAAAAAAAUUUCCAGUCCAAGAAAUCCUCCAGUAAAAUCGAAGCAACAUCCUUCCAUUGACAGUCAUAUAGUAUAAGGUGCAAGUUCAACAUCUUUGUGUUCUAACCAAAAUUGAGCUUGGUCAAUUGAGGACUUUCUAGCUUGAAGAAGUUAAUAACAGAAAAGAACUCUCGCAGAAAUGGCAGCAGACUUUCUUCGAAACCGAUAACAACUUGGCACAUAAUUGGCUUCACAUCAACCAAUACUAGUUAAACGAAGCAGAUAAAUUUUGCAUUGCAUUUGAGAGAAAUCAACCACAACAAAAAGAGGUUCUCAAUGUUUCAAGGGCAUGCUUUCUCAUUCAGUUCUGAUUUCAUAGAACAAAACCAAUGUCAAAAGAGCCAGACCAUUCCUUGCCAGAAAAUGGCCAAUGUGAAGUCCGUCUGGAUCUUAAACAGCAUAUACCCCAGCAUAAACGUGCAAGAGAAUGAAAGCAUCAUCCAACUGACCAUCCUUCGUUUACUUCUUUUUUUUCUUAUGACUGGACAGUAGACUCAUCUUGAUGUUCCUCUGUACGAGCAAGUCUUGGAUUAACGCGGUGAACCUGAGCCCAGCUGACAUGCAUCUAUCGUUGGAUGAAGCGCGCCGAGUGGAACCCACAUAAUCCUACGACGCAUGUAAGCCGGGCUAUAUUAUUUACAUACUUGAUGGUUGGACGCUUACGUUACACCCAAUUUUGCCACCGCACUUACGGAGAAAAUUGAGUGGGCAUUGCAAGAUGAUGUACCUAUCAGAUUCUGAUAGGGCCUAUAGUGGAUGACUUAAAACAUCUCUUUCGUCAACUCGCUAGGAUUAACUCAAUUGAGAUAACGCACCCUCAAUUACGUUGAUAUAGUGCCAAGUGAAUUGAUGACACUGCACAAGAUAUUAUGUUCAUAUCGAGCAUCAUUACACCCAAUUUUGCGACCGCGCUGACGGAGAAAAUUGAGUGGGCAUUGCAAGAUGAUGUACCUAUAACAUUUUUUUCAAUUGAAUCCUAAAUCUGUUCAUAUUUUGCUAAUUGAGUCUAUCCAGAAAGUAUUGAAGUGGACCGGCCAACAUGGCACGGUCGGUGUUGACAUGAAUGAUUGUUGGGAAAAUAUUUUUCGUUUAUUCAUUUUUAUAGCAAUACAAGCAAUCAUUUUUGAGAAUUUUUUUUUUCAAAUUCUCCAUUUUUCGUAAAAUAAACGGAGCCUAACACAAAGAAAAUGAGGAAUAAAUCCAGGUGACAGAGAAUAUCCUAAAAAAGGGGAAUAAAUGAAAUUAAAAUCUUUAUGCUUGUCACGCGCGAAUUUAGAAUAAGGUGGAGUGACAACGUGGGUAAUCUUUGCGAGAUAUAUAAUUGCGUAAUCAGAAAAAGCAAAACAUGCGUUAUUCCUAAUCCGUUCAUAAGCAUGGGCAAACGGAAGCUACUGAUACCUGGUGGAGCGACAAAGAGGACAUGACUCCCUCCUCUCCGGCCACUUGCCGAUGCACUCUGCAUGGAAGACAUGCUCCCAAUUCGUCCGAGCGGCCAUAGACUCGGCUCAGAGCUCCUCACGACAGAUCAAAGGAGCCCUUUCAAUGCCAAUCUUGCGCCGUAAUUCCCCAUCCAGCAAGUUCGAAGGCCAUCAUGUCGUCCAACGGCAUCACUGCCCGCAACGAGGACUCGGAGACCCGUGGUGACGUAGGAUAUAUAUAAUAUAUAUAUUGAUCUUAAUUUGUCAAAUGUGAUAUUGAUUUUGUAAAAUCAUUAUCUGUUUUGUAUGUCAUAAUAGACAUCCAUAAAUAUGCGGAUACUUACAAAACAAAACAUGUGGAAGAAGAAGAGAUGCUAAAUUAGAGAGUACUAGGAUUAGAGAUUUGCUAAAAUGACUAUGAAAAAUAAUUUGCAGAGUAAAGCUCGCGUGGGAACAGGGAACAAUGGAACAUGGCUCGGUGUGACAAGAAAUUUAUCCACAUUAAUAUGCUUUGAAGUGCUUUGCUGCAAUCGAAUAAUGUCCAACGAAGUCACCCAUGUUUAUCCCAAUAUUCAAUUUCUGUUCCCCGAAGAAGAUUAUGCUCUACCUCUUCAGGAAAAAAUUAUUAAAAACAGUAUAGUUUAAAGAGAACACUUAGAAAACUUCGUAAUGAUGCAUACAUACGCAUCUCGUUUUCCUAGGUAAGAUCAUUCUACUGCAAAGAGAGAUGCAUUUCAGCGUGUGCAAUUGUAAUACAGGGUAAUAUUUCUUAAUCAUCUCGAAAUUUGAAAUAAAAUAUAUUUCUUUUGUUAUAUGGAUGGAAAAGCAAAAAGAGGACAAUAAAGAAGACAAUAACUUGAGCGAGGGAGAGUCGCAAGGGGUCAUGGAGGUGAUGUUCCUUUAAUUAGCGAGCCGCAAAAUAACGUUCCUAGCUCGGCACCUGAACUAAUAAUGGAUUACCUUGUUAAUUGUCUUAGUCCAAUUGUGAUUGACUUGCCUUUGAGCAGAUCGAUAAGGUAACUAAACCUGACCUAAAUCACCAUCACUACAUUGUGAAGGCUUUAUUAGUAUUUGGCUUAAGGCCCGUCCGCCCAAGUUGGGCCGAGAAAGCCCGGCCCACGGGAAUAGGGCCCGUGGAAGGAGAGAGGUAUAAAAGGGAGGAGAAAGAGAGAAAAUAACAACGUUUUGUUUAAAAGAAAAAGGACGUACGUACUCUCCCUCUCUGUCGUUUUCUCCAAAAGCAAAACAGUGAAGCGCCAAGGCCAAUUUGCUUCAUCGGAUCGAACAGGACCAAGUUUCUCUUCCUCUAACGGCGUCGGUGUUUAAUCUGUGGCUAAAAGGUACGCUCGAAUCUGUGGUGUGCUUUAGGAUCGGUGAUACGUGUUGUUUAUCCCGGGCUCGUCUUCCGCAUUGAUUUAGGGGUUCGAUUUAGUGUCGAAUCCGUUUUUCGGGGAUCAGUCAUUCCCAACAUUGGUAUCAGAGCCUUAGUUCACGUUUUCCCGACUUGUUUGACGAUUUUUGAUUGAUUUUUCGCAAAAGCAAUUCGGCCGUACGAAUCGGGGCGAGAAAUCUCGACACCCGAGCGUUCUUCGGCCAAUUUUCUGAGUUUUCGUAAGUCGAAAUCGUUUUCUGAAUACAUGGGGAGAAAGGCAACGUCGAGACGAGUCUGGAGAUACGUCGUGCGCCGCCGGGCGACGCCCCACGCGCCCACACGCACGGCCAGAAGCCGCUGCGCGUGGGCGUGACGCGCCCGGAAGCGCUGGCUCGCCCAGCGCGUGCGGCACACGCGUCGGUCGGCGAACCGGCGCGUGCGCACUGCCGGCCAGCGAACCGGCACGCGCCGGUCCGCGGACCGACGCGUGCUGACGUCAUCGAUGACGUCAGCACGACGACGUUUCGCCGGGGCGACCACCGGCCGACGACCCGACCCGACCCGACCCGACCCGACCGCGGAGACCCAGCACGUGCGCGGCGCGUGCCGGCUGAUGUCUGCGUGACGUCAGCCCGCGCAUGCGCGCGGCACGUGCCGUCGGUUCGCCCGAGCCGGCCCCACCAGCCCGACUGGUCCGACUGGUCCGACGACCGUUGACGACCGUUGACCACCGUUGACUGUUGACGACCGUUGACCGACGACCGUUGACCGUUGACCCAAAAAAAAAAAGAAGAAGGAAAAGAAUGUGUUUCUUUUUCAAUUAAGUCUAUUUGGAUUAUAAUGUGAUCCCUUAUUUGUUCUGCAUUUGUUGCAGGAACAAUGCCUCCCCUGAGGUUGCGCACACCUAUUCGCGCAGUUACCGAUGAACAAAAGAAUAGGCUGUCUAAGUUGAUGGCUGAGCUGACUGAUCAUCGAUGGGAGAGAGGUGACUUAAUUGAUCAUGUCCUUGAAGUCAACGGGAAGAUUCAACAGGUCAUAUGGAAUGGUCGUCCUAUGUCACAGUCAGAGAUGGUGCGAUUUUUCAUAAACACUCUUCCACUUGAAUGGCAAGAUGUGUUGAAUCGCAUAUGGGAUGUCAACGGAGCUGCUUCCUAUAAGAAAAUUGUGAUGGAUUUUGUAAAUGAAUAUUACUGUAUUGUUUCAAGGGAAAAGAUCAAGAAAUUGAACAAAAGAGGAUCUUUCCUAGUUCGUGUGCUGACUUGGUGUUAGUUGUAUUGGCUGAUAUAUGUUAAGUGUGAUUUGUGGACAUAUUAUGUAAUGAUUACUACCUAAUUGUGUUAAUUGAAAGCAUUGUUGUUUUAUUGGAUGUCUAUUAUAUAUUGCUUUCUGUUAUUGCUGGUUGCUGUGGGUAAUUAGCUGUGGGUAGUUUUAGAAGUUUUUGUAGCUUCAUAGAAUUGAUUUUGCAUAAGACAAUUAUAUUGAUGAUAGUUUUAAGUUAGGAUUUUGGAGGAUGAUUGGAAACAUAGUGACAUUUUGAUUCUGAAACAUUACUUGAAAUUAUUCAUUAAUAUGAUGGGUCUAUGUAAAUAGGGAUGCAUAAAUGAUAGGCAUUAAUAAUUCGUGCAUAUUUGUCUGAUUUGUUCAGAUCAAUGGCUUCAGCCACAAAGAGCAUAGUUGCUGAGCUGAACAAAGGUGAAAAGCUCAAUGGUGACAACUAUGAAAUUUGGCAAAUGAAAAUCCAGUAUGUGCUGGAAGAGCAAGAAGCACUUGAGGCUCUCAACCUGACCAUGGUAGAACCUGAAGAGGGAACCGCUGCACAGCACAAAAGAGACAAAGAAGCUUUUUCUUCGUGGAAAAGAAAGAACUCUCUAGCUCGCAUCACGUUGCUGAGCAGCAUGGAAAAUGACGUCAUGCGAGAGUUUCGGCGUUUUGACAAUGCCAAGGAAAUGUGGGAGGCAUUGGCAGCUAGAUUUGGUCAUACUUCGGUGACUAGACUGAGGCAGCUCACUAUCAGGUUUGACUCUUAUAAGAAGCCUCAUGGUCAGACCAUGAAGCAACAUCUUAGAAAGAUGUCAAACAUGAUAACUGAGCUGAAAGAUGCUGGCCAUGUCCUCACAGAUGAGCAGCAAGUGCAAGCAGUGAUUCGUUCCUUGCCUCAGAGUUGGGAGCAUAUGAAGGUGCACCUGACUCAUAAUGAAAAUAUCAAAACCUUUGAGGAUGCAAUGCGUCAUCUUGAGCUGGAAGAGGACCGCCUGUUGGCGGCUAAGCCGGAUGCUGAACUCUAUCAUGCAAGUUCUAGCUCAAAUGGAGCUUCGAGCUCCAAGCGCAAGCGCCCUAACUGGUUUGAUAAGGGGAAAGGCAAGGAAGAAGUAGGUCCUUCAAGGAAGAAACCCAAGUUUAACCAACAUGACAGAGGGAAGCGUCCUCGCAUGAAAAAGCUUGCAAGGGUGAAAUGCUACAACUGUGACAAGAAGGGUCACUAUGCUCGCGACUGUCGUGAACCAAAGAAGGUAUGCACCCCUUGUACUUUUCAGAACUAUGCUUUUGUGUCGAGUUCUGUGUUCUUAACUGAGUCUAAUCCUUUGUGGACUGUGGAUUCAGGAGCGACGGACCAUGUAGCGAAGGAUAGAGGAUCCUUCGUGGAAUUCCGAUGAGUACCAACUGGAACUAAGUGGAUCUAUGUGGGAAACAAUUCCAGAGCUGAAGUGAAAGGAAUUGGCACAUGCCAACUGAAUAUGCGUGGUGGACGCACUUUGUUCCUUCAUGAUGUAUUGUAUGCUCCAGAGAUUCGUCGGAAUUUAGUGUCUGUAUUAGUGUUGGUUAAAUUAGGUUUUAAUAUGAACUUCUAUAGUAGAUGUGUGAAUUUGUUUUUGGAUACAAAUUACUAUGGUUGUGGUUAUUUUCUAGAUGGUUUUAUUGUAUUAGAUAUUGAUUAUGUUAAUGAUAAUGUUUGGUAUUCCCUUCUCACGUCUCCUAAUAAAUAUGAUAAUGAUGUGAAUGUGUGGCAUGCUAGACUUGGUUACAUUGGCCAACAGCGUAUGAAUAGACUAGCCAAAGAGGGCUUGUUGGGCAAUAUUGAAAAAGUCGAUUUGUCCAUAUGUAAGUAUUGCCUAGAAGGGAAAACGACAAGGAAACCAUUUGGAAAAGGAAAAAGAGCUGAAUUUCCUCUGCAUUUAAUCCAUUCUGAUGUCUGUGGUCCAAUGAAUGUGAAAGGAAGGCAUGAGGCUGUUUAUUUCAUCACUUUUAUUGAUGAUUAUACUCGAUUCGGAUAUGUCUAUUUGAUUUCUCAUAAAUCUGAAACAAUAAGUUGUUUUAAAAGGUUUAUGAACCUGGUAGAGAAUCAAUUAGACAAGAAAAUAAAAGCAUUGAGAUCCAAUUGAGGUCGAGAAUAUUUAUCUGAUGAGUUCAGAAAAUUAUGUGAUGAAAAAGGAAUAGAAAGACAGUUGUCUAUUCCAUAUACUCCUCAACAAAAUGGUAUUGCGGAGAGAAGAAACAAAACCCUACUGGAAAUGGUUAGGUCCAUGAUGGCGCAUGCUAACUUACCUAUUACUUUUUGGAGUGAUGCGUUGUUAACUGCUGCCUAUAUACUUAACCGUGUGCCUUCCAAAUCAGUUACUUCCACUCCAUAUGAGUUAUGGACGGGUAGAAAACCGGACUUAAGUUUUCUUAAGCCAUGGGGUUGUGCCGCCUAUACACAUGAGUCCUCUCACAAAUUUGGGAAAUUGGGUCCCAGAGGAAAGAAGAGUAUUUUCAUAAGGUACUCUGAACACUCGAAAGGAUAUGUGUUCAUAGGUGAGCAGGAAAGUGGGAGUAUAACUGAGUUUGAAUCACGAGAUGUCACAUUCCUAGAGAACGAAUUUCCUAAGAAGGGCGAAAUAGGGGAAGAUCGUUCCCUAUUUGAGACCUUGGAUCAGGAUAAUGAUGUUAGUGGAGUUCGUCCAAGUGGGAGUAAUAUGAGAAGUGAUGAAUUGAAUUCAACUCAUUCUCAAUUGCAACCACAUGAUGAGACGACAUCAUCAUUACCUAAUCCAAGUGGGAGCAUGAUGGGGGAUGAUGUGCAAAGUGUAUAAUCUCCCAUACGGCGAACAAGUCGCCAAAGUAUUCCCCGUCGACGUUUUGACAUUGAAGGGGAAACUUUUAUGAUUGCUCCACAAGAUGAGGAUGAGUCAAGAAAUAUUAAUGAGGCUUUGAAUUGCCCUAGUAAGGAAAAAUGGAUUAAUGCAAUGGAAGAGGAAAUGGAGUCAAUGAAAUCAAACCAAGUCUGGGAACUGGUUGAUCUGCCAAAAGGACGCAGAGCUAUUGGGAACAAAUGGGUUCUCAAAAUAAAGCGAAAGGCUGAUGGCUCGAUAGAAAGGCAUAAGGCUCGCCUUGUGGCGAAGGGGUAUAAUCAACAGGAAGGAAUUGAUUAUGAAGAUACGUUUUCUCCUGUAGUAAGAUUUACCUCGAUUCGCAUUAUUCUGGUAAUAGUGGCUAGUCUGGAUCUUGAGUUACAUCAAAUGGAUGUAAAGACUGCUUUCCUCAAUGGAGAAUUAGAGGAAGAAAUAUAUAUGGAACAACCUGCUGGUUUCAUAGUGAAAGGCCAAGAAAAAAAAGUAUGUCGACUUUUGAGGUCGAUAUAUGGUCUUAAGCAGUCAUCAAGACAAUGGUAUAUAGGUUUUCAUAAUGUCAUAAUGGCAUAUGAUUUUACGAUGAUUGAUGAGGAUCAUUGUGUAUAUAUCAAAAGAUCCAAGGAUCAAUUUGUGAUCAUAUCAUUAUAUGUUGAUGAUAUACUAAUUGCUGGAAGCAAUAUGGAGUUUGUUAAGACUGUCAAGAGUUGGUUGUUUUCCAACUUUGAGAUGAAGGACAUGGGUGAGGCUGCAUACAUUCUUGGAGUUAAGAUUUCAAGAGAUCGUUCGAAGAGAUCAUUGUCUCUUUCGCAAGAAACCUAUAUAAAUAAGGUUCUUGAACGAUUUCGUAUGCAAGAUUGUAAACCCAUAGACACUCCUAUUGCAAAAGGUGAAGGAUUGAGCCAUAGACUGUGUCCAAGGACUCCACAAGAGAAGGAACAAAUGAAACAUGUUCCUUAUGCAAGUGCUGUUGGGAGCUUGAUGUACGCUAUGAUGUGUACAAGACCCGACAUAUGUUUUGCAGUUGGAAUGGUGAGUAGAUACCAAUCCAAUCCAGGUCCAGCACAUUGGAAAGCCGUUAAGAGAGUACUGAGGUAUCUGAAGGGAACUGCUGAUUAUUACAAGUUGAAUUAUCAAGGAAAGGAUCUGCGACUUGAAGGCUAUUCAGAUGCUGAUUGGGGGGAGAUUUAGAUGAAAGGAAAUCUACCUCAGGAUUUGCUUUCUUACUGAGCAAUGGCGCCAUAUCAUGGAGUAGUAAGAAGCAAACGUGCAUAGCCUUAUCCACGAUGGAAGCUGAGUUCGUGGCAUUAUCAGCAGCAGUACAAGAAGCAGUUUGGCUUAAGAGAUUCUUGGAUCAUUUAGGUGUUAUUGAGAAAGCUGCAAAUCAAUUAUUGGUUAACUGUGAUAGCCAAGCAGCUAUAGCAUACACCAAAGAUCCAAAGUAUCAUGGCAAGACCAAACAUAUAGAUACAAAGUAUAACUUUGUAAAAGAUAUGGUUGCACGAAAAAAUGUGAACUUACAGUACAUAUCUACGCAUAGAAUGGUAGCAGAUCCUAUGACAAAACCAAUACCUAGAGAUGUGUUUUGUGGUCAUGUAAUAUCUCUAGGAUUGCGUAGAGUAUGAUAUACUGGAUUGUAAUUUCCUUGAGUUGUUCACAUUUAUGAACUAGUGUUGUUUCAUUAUUAAUGCCUAUGAAUCUUUGUUUGAUCUUUAUGCAUCUUAAUGCUCAGUGUAUUACUUUAUGUUGAGAAAGUAUGUCGGACAGAUAAAAGAUUAGCCCACUCACACGGGUAAUCGUCUCUAUUUACUGUGUGAUAAAUAGAGAUGAGACUGUUUUUAAGCUUAUUAUCUAGGUGAUAAUCGAGAGCUCAAGCUUAAAAUACGAAUGUCGCCUUAACUGAGUGUUAAGAUGAGGACAUAAUACUUACUAUGUCCAAAAGUAAAAUACCCCACAUGUUUUACUUUAUCUGUCUAAGAUGCCAGAUGUGAGUUCUGAUGAAUUUUGUAAAUGAGUAGAUACGUGAACUCAAGUUAGACAUUCAGGAUGUCUGAACUAUCAUCUGUACGGUAUUGAAAGGUGUAGACAUACGCUCCAUGGGAAAAGGAGUUAAUAUCGUAAUACGUAUUUCAUACUACGUAUGCAUGAGCCGACCAAGAAAGAGUGGCAAAAAGUUUUGAUCUCAACUUUUAUGACGUGUGAGACUCUUGAGGAAAAGAGUUCCUCAAUUUAAGUGCCCUCAUGACUUUUACUUAUUCUCAAGGUUUCUAUUUAGUGUUUGCUAUCUUAGGAUGUUGCCAAUGGUCAUGAGUUGAUUCGAUCUAAUGGGACAUUUCUAGAAAAGCAAGCUGAACUGAAAUUGAGAGUUUGAAGGAAAGAGGAAGAUCGAUUUUGGAGAAUCACAUUGUAGUUUUUGUAUUCACUGGUCGACCAAUUAUGAUUGUCUUUGUGAUAACUGUAAUUGUGAAUAUAAUAUAUAUAUAUAUAUAUAUAUAUAUAUAUAUAUAUAUAUCAUGUUUGAAAGAGAUCAAGAGAGAUAUAAAAUGUGAUCGAUCGAUCUAGGGUACUGCAUACUAAAUCUACUCAGAGUGUGACGCCCAUUAUGAGCUGCUAUAUAUUCCUAACAGAUGUAUAGCAACGAGCUCUCAAAGUAUGCUGGUCGCACGGAUCAUUCACCGGUAUGAAUGUUGAAAAGAGGUAAAGAGAAUCCUGUUCGGCCCACCAUGUGCGAGUGGGAGAUGAAGGCUUUAUUAGUAUUUGGCUUAAGGCCCGUCCGCCCAAGUUGGGCCGAGAAAGCCCGGCCCACGGGAAUAGGGCCCGUGGAAGGAGAGAGGUAUAAAAGGGAGGAGAAAGAGAGAAAAUAACAACGUUUUGUUUAAAAGAAAAAGGACGUACGUACUCUCCCUCUCUGUCGUUUUCUCCAAAAGCAAAACAGUGAAGCGCCAAGGCCAAUUUGCUUCAUCGGAUCGAACAGGACCAAGUUUCUCUUCCUCUAACGGCGUCGGUGUUUAAUCUGUGGCUAAAAGGUACGCUCGAAUCCGUGGUGUGCUUUAGGAUCGGUGAUACGUGUUGUUUAUCCCGGGCUCGUCUUCCGCAUUGAUUUAGGGGUUCGAUUUAGUGUCGAAUCCGUUUUUCGGGGAUCAGUCAUUCCCAACACAUUGCAACACAAGAAAGCGUGAAAAGUAUCGAGUCGGAUGGCGAGAGUGGUGGCUGGUGCCCUUUUCAAAUGACCUUGUCUUUUAACUUGUGGGAACUUUCUUAUGAAUCAUGUAUAGAUUCGGCAUCCCUCGCAAGACCAGCAUUAUAGUUGAACAGAUAAAAUUUCAAGCUUAAGGCACGAGCUAGAUGAGUCAAUAUCUCAAGUUCAAAACCCGAUUCGGCAUAAUAUUGUAUGGCUCUCGGUUGAGAAUAAUUUAUUCCUUAAUAGUAAGUCUAGAUGGCUUUUUUUUUACUAGAUCCAAGUGAACAGCUCUAAAAUAUCAUCUCACUGCAUCAUGACCCACGUUCCGAUAGCUUCGUGGCUCCAAAUUUGUAUUUCUAACAUUUAGCUGGUAAAGUUUUUUUAAUAAAUGCAUCUAAUAGUGGAAAUUCCAACACAAUAAAAUAUCUUAUUAACAUGAAAACUGAUCCUGCAAAAUCAUUCAAAUCACAUGUCAAGGAUUCGACCUAUACCCUCACUAACAAGUGUCCAAUUUUGUGAUCUAGGUUGGCUCUAUCAUGCUUAAGUCAGUAAAAUAUGAGAGAGAGAGAGAGAGAGAGAGAGAGAGAGAGAGAGAGAGAGAGAGGGGGGGGGGGUUGGCAUUUGAAAGGGCAAGAGAGAGAAGUUGGAAAGGGAUUCGGGUCAAAACUGAAGGCUUUGUGAUGACAAAGUGUGGAAAAUUUCAAGAGAAAAUGACAAAUGGACCACUUCUCUUUCUAUCAUGUUUUCAACGUGUGUCGCAAUACCAUUUAGAUUUAUGAGGAUUAAUUGAGGUUGGCACUUGAAAGGGCAAGAGAGAGAAGUUGGAAAGGGAUCGGGUCAAAAUUGAAGGCUUUGUGAUGACAAAGUGUGGAAAAUUUCAAGGGAAAAUGACAAAUGGGCCACUUCUCUUUCUAUCAUGAUUUCAACAUGUGUCGCAAUACCAUUUGGAUUUAUGAGGAUUAAUUGAGUGAAAAAAAUAAAAUCAAAUACUCCGUACAGUUAAAAAAGAAGUAAGAAGAAUCAACUCCAUGUGACUUUCAUCUUUUAAUUCAUACUUUAAUCUAAUUUUUUGCGAUUAAGAUCUUCUUAAAAAAUUAAUUCUUAAAUAUGAUACUUUUGUCAAUAGAGCUAAUAGUUCCUCGUGUUAUAUCAUAUCCAGGUUAAUUCAAAUAUGAUACUUUCAUCAAAUGUGUCAAAACCAGGGAAGAUCCUAUACAAUAAUCCGUCAUUUGACAAGUUCAAGGAAAUGAUCUCACAUAAAACGUGUAAAAAAAAAUGUAUCUUAGCAUAUAUUUAUAUGCCUAAACGAGAGGGUCACUUCGCUAUGGGUAUUAAGAUGCAGACCUGUUUGUAACAAAAACGCGAUUGAUCUUUAACUCAACACGCGUAAUUAACUACAUCUUGUGUAUUUGCGUAAAAUGGUCAUAUCGAAAAUUGUUAACCUUACAUCUCAAUAUACCUAAACAAGAACCCAUAUAAAACGUGGAUGAUAUUAUAAUAUAUAUGUUCCAAUUCGUAGCGAGGUUUUAAUGAUUUUCCUUGUAAUAAAUUAAGGGCAACUGUAAACUCAAUAGUCAUGAGGAGAAGACAAAUUCCAUGACUUAUAAAUUCUGAACUUCGCAUUUUUUUUUCUGGCUGUAGAAAAUGAAAAUAAUCUAUGAUUUUAAUUCAAAUACUGUACGAUAAAUUGUUGAUGGAUCAUAUACUUUUAUGCAUUUUCGUGCAUAGCCUAAACAUGAUUCUACUAUCUUCUCCAAUAGGAGAAUUUAUUAGAGUAUUAUCCAUCAAGAAUAGGUAUGCCAAUGGUAAGUCAAAUUCACAAUCGCUUUUUUCAUUGGCGAGAGUAGUAUCCUUUCGAAAUAAAUCCAAUGGAAAUGAGGAAUAAAUCCACGUGAUAGAGAAUAUCCCAAAAAUAAGGAGAAUAAAUGAAAUUAAAAUCUAUAACAUUGUCACAAGCGAAUUUAGAAUCACUUGGUAGAGUGACAACGUGGGCUAAUCUAUUUGAUAAUGACAUAAGAGGCCUACAUCUCAUCAUAGCAUAGCUUAACUUGUAGUAGACGGUCCAGACAGCUUGCAAUUACACUUCUUCUUUUUUAUGGCAUUUGUUUGCAGUGACUUUGAAGUCAAUUGAAUUUGGCAUUUGUAGGUGAUGGAUCUUUUUUGAUAAUGACAUAAGUGGACUACAUUUCAUUGGCCUAUUUUCAUUAUCUCUACUUCUUCGGGAAAAGAUAGAUGAGAACAACAUUUUCAAAGAUGCAUAUUCGUAUUUUUUAAUUUAUUUAUCAGCAAGCCUAUAUAUUAACGUGCACAAUUGAGGACAAGGAAAUUAUAAUUACUAAUAAUUAUAUAUGAUACUCACUUUAAUAUUAAAUUUCUUUACUGGUUUACUUAAAUGUCCAAUAAAUAAAUAAAAACCAGUUAAGUCCGACGAAAAUUUUGAGUAAAAGAAAUUAUAUGAUUUUUAUAAUUAAAAUUUUUAUCUGAGAUGACUUCUUUUAAAAUACAAACCAGUCAACGCGUGCAGAUUAUUGUGUAAAAUGAGGACGUUCCUGUUCACCAUCGUCUCCAUCGCCGGCCAUGGAGCCACCCCCAACCAUGCCGAGCACCGCCACCUCCUCCACUACCUUGACAAGUUGGCGGCUGCGGCGAGAGCAUUGACAUCGACCCAUCCAUCUCUUUCGAGAACCCUUGCCUUCGCGAUGCCUUCGUCGCCCCAUUCCCUGAAGCAGGCCAUCAUCUCCAACCCCAACGACUUCACCGCCAACUGGGUUGGCCCCUUUGUCUGAGAUUUCACAUCAGCACCCGCCAUUGCUUGCUUUCCGUUACCGGUCACCAGAGUCGCGAGGUUUGUCAUCGAGAGAACCACAAUAGAGAGCCCCCAUAUAUGCACCUCUGACCUCGCCGAAAAAAUAAUCCUCUCUAGAGGAGUUUGAGAAGUUUCAUCAUUGGCAAUCCUUCUUUGUCACUUUCUGAAUCUCAUAGCCAUCGCUGAUUGAGCUGUUCACUGCCUCCAAGUCUUGCCGACUACGCCUCUGUUGUACCCAAAUUUUCUGCUUAGAGCGACUGAGGUGCUUUGCGUUUGCCUAAUCCUUCUUCGUCGGUGCCGAUCACCAUCGCCGAUGCCUCUAGGACAUCAGCUCUCUAGUUUGAUCGCUGUUUAUGAUCAACAAUCGCACCUUCAAGGCCAUAUCCGCCACCGCACAUAAGUCCUCUGUUCUGCCCUGCUUCUUUGCCAAGGACUGUGAAGUGCCUCAGGCUGGUUCAUUCGCCCCCCGCUGGUUCAAUAUCUGUCUUCCACACUUCCAGGAGUUUCUUUUUCCAACUUGAUUACCAACUGCAACUAGGAUUUGGUUCAUUGACAAGAUAAUAAUUCGCCCUCAAAUCUGAUAAGCAAGAGAACGAGACAGUGAUUUAAGGUUUCGAUUUUGGGGUGAAACACAUGACGGCGUUGUUUUGGGCUAUAUGCUCUAAUUAGGUGUCCCGGCGAGCCACAUCAUACGGAGAAAUUAUUAAAAAAUGGCCACAUCAAAUUUCUUGGUUAUGAUAAUACUAAAGUGAUCUGAAAAAAAAAAAAGAAUAGACUAAAGUGAGUAUUAUAUAUAACUUUGGAGACUUAUAGUGCCAUUCCCUCACACAAUUGUAAUAGAAGGGGCCUCUACAAUUUUUCAUAUAAUUAAAAAUAUUAAACAAUUUUUUUUUUUUUUUACAAGAAGAAAGAUGUGGAUAAAGCAAACAUAAUUUCUCACGUGGUAAUCGGCGUUGACUUUGGCUUUGUGAGAGGCGGUGAAAGCUCCUAGCUCAGCACGAUCUCCAGGAACUUGUGUAUCACGAAAAAAAUAAAAAAAUUGAAGAGGUGAUCGUAGUAAUUGCAAUAAUUAUUCUCGGACGUCAAGAUCGGUGCACCGACUCCUUUUCACUCGCCAGGUAUUCCGCGUGGACUCUGGUCUUCCCAGCCGGGACAAAAGAUCGAAGUUGACUGGAACAUGACAACUCGCCAGCGCUCGGGCACAUUAAUCUCAGUGGACCAACCCGGGAUUCGCCCCAGUGGCCACUCUUCCAACAUGGAAGGGGGAGGUGAGAGGUUCAAAUCCCCACAUUCUCGGGGGGAAUGGGGGUGGGGACAUGUAAGUUUCAGGAGUAGGUUUCGACUCCUACGCCCUGCAAAAGGCAGGGCAAAAGUUUGAGAGUAAGUGUAGAGUAGGAAUAGAGUAGGAUUGACUAAAAAAAAAAAAAUCUCAGUGGACCAGAAAAUUCCUUUUUGUCGAUGAUUCAGCCGAUGGAUAUGAGCCCUCCAUGCUAGGGUUAUGCAUGAGAACCGGGAUCCGCCCAAACCGUUCAGAACCGAAAAAAAAAAAAAAAAAAGCCCAUUAGCAUAAGACAAGUCUGUUUUAUAGAUGUAAUUUGAUAUCUUAUGAACGUGACUUCUCCUUUAAAAAGAGCAUCACUGUAUACAAGGAAAUACUGAGGAAGGGAAUCGUACUUCGAAAGGCAAGAAAAUCAAGUUCACCUGAUAUUAUUAUUAAGAAAGUGGGAUCACAAACUAUUCAUGCUUUAACAAGGUACCGAUAAGAAAUUAAUGUUGCUUUUGCUCGGCGAGGGGCUGGCAAAAAAUCCUAGCUCGGCACGAUCGCAAAGAAUCCUAAUCAAUAAAACAAAUCGUGAAUGGCUUGUCUUUGAACAUGAGCGAAACGGUCAAAUUUGUCCGCCCACAAGUCCGACCUAAACUAUCGUUUGAAUGUUACACGAGGAAAGUUCUUGCAAUAAUUAUUAUCGGAUAGGAAAAAGAAACGAGUGGACUCAGUCUUCCCAAACCGGGACGAAAGAUCAAAGUCGAUUUGGAUGUCACAACUUGCAAGGGCUCGGAGACAGCCAUCCUUUCCCGGAACAACUUUUCAAUUUNNNNNNNNNNNNNNNNNNNNNNNNNNNNNNNNNNNNNNNNNNNNNNNNNNNNNNNNNNNNNNNNNNNNNNNNNNNNNNNNNNNNNNNNNNNNNNNNNNNNACCGAACCGUUAGAGAAAUUUUCCGAACCGAACCGAAUAAGUCCCGAACCGAACCGAACCGAACCGAACACGGUUCGGUUCGGUUUUUCGGUUUUCAAAUUUUGGGUUUCGGUUUUCGGUUUUCGGUUUUUUUUUUUUUUUUUUUUUCCGGGACGGCUUACCUUCUAUAUAAGCUCCUUGAAGCAUUGAUUGAUGUUCUCUCUAGUUUUUGUGCUAUAUUCAAGAAACGAACAUCUAUGUCUUUGAGCUAGAUCUCUUCCUUCUUCCCUUGUUACAACCCUUUCACUCUCCUGAAAUUAUCACAUCAUGAGAAGCAAGAUGACUUCUCUUCGAAGAGAAGUCAAGCAAGAAGAAACCAGGGAGGAUAAGAAGCGAUGAUGAGGACGGGAGCUCGGAAUGUUGUGUAAGAAUUCUUUGGAAGGAGGAUGGCGUCCUGAGAUGUGGUUUCUUUUGUGGGCUUGUCCCAGUUGAGCCUGGAAAUGGCUCGAGUUUUGCAUUGCUUCCAAUCUAGUUGGGUUUCAAAAGGAAGCGAAAGCUUCACUUUUGACUUUUUAGGUUUCAUGGGCAACUGGUCUGGAUCAAAAAUUGCCUUGCUUUAAGCUUUUCCAAUCUUAAUUUGUUCCUAGAAGGAAUAUUUGGUCCUACAUAUAGUGUGGCGAUUUUAAGUGUUUUUUUUUACACUAGUGAUUCAUAAAUACAGCCAUAAGCAUAUGAAAUCAUGAUAAAGUAUGCUAACAACUUAUCUUCUCAUCUGAAUGUUCUACUAGAGUCUUUAUGCCUCACAUCACAUUUCACUCAGCAAGUAUACCCAUUUAGUCUAGGAAAUUGUCCUUCUCCAAGGACAAGAGAAUCAAGACUUGCUGAGAUUUCAAAAAGAUGCUGUGUAGCAUCCCCAAUGUACAACAAAAAUCGGUGUUGACAAAGCUCUGAAAUAGGGAUUCUGUUCACCAAAGAAGAAGAGAAAAAGAAGAAGAAAGAAUCCCGGAUUAACAAGAACUCAAAGGAAACUAGUGCUUUUCAUCCAUAAAACAAGUAUCAUAGGGCAAUUAAUUAUUGCAAGAAUCCAAAUUAUAGUCAUGGCAAGGAGCAAAAGUAAAUCACAUUAGACAUCCAUUCAGUCACUUCUUUAACCCCACGAUGCUGAGACAAAGCGACAACAUAUAUCUCCGUUAUAUUACAACCGCUUCUUCUAUAUGAUUCAAACUACAGAGUUCUCCAAUGGCUCAAGGCCAUUCUGCCUCGGGAAUGGCAAGUUUCUCACGCAUCUCCACAGGAGUUGUGUGCACGCUAAGCCCAAUAACCACAAUGUUGCUCUUUUCUUUUGUAUACCCUGACCAAAACAAUUGAAAUAAAAUUAGUGAUCUCAACUUAGGAAUCUGAUGUCACAAUAUAUACUUUCCGCUUCUGUGUUUUCUAUUUGAAUCAUUGCUUGAAAAGGAAGAAAGUCACUCUCUAUGAACAUGCAGGAUUGUUUUAAGCUCAACAUAUCUAAGAAGAGAGGGAAAUAAGUAGUUCCACCUCAAAGGUGAAGAAAGGGGUACAUCACCAUAGGAACAGAAUAAAAUCCAAAUUGCUCAAACCUCAUACUAGAUUCUCAAGUUCAAUCAAAUCAUUAUGGUUUUAACCCAAUUUGGACAUCAAAACAUCAAGAGAAAUUACCUCUUUGAGCUUUCUUCGAGCUUAAAGACGACAUUCAAUCAUCAAGAGAAAUUGCUAUUGAAUUCAGGUCCAUGGUCGUAGAUGACAACUCUGCAUUAAAUUCACAAUGAAAAUAGGAAUUGAAAUAUCAAUUGUAAUAUUGAAAAAUAUAAAUAUUCCAUGGUUAUUUUUUUCUCACCUGACUCAAAAUUUUCAAGUUCUUCUAAGUUCUCCUCGAUCGAUUAUGAAAGUGGUGCAGAUCAUAGCCAAUCUUGAGUACAUAUAAGAGCUUCUACCAUCAGUGGGGUCAAAGAGCUACGAAAUAUAUCAAGUACUCGACCCCCGGUGCUGAAUGCAGACUCUGAUGCUACAGUGGAGAUGGGCACGGCCAAAAUAUCUCGAGCAAUAGAAGAUAAGAUAGGAUAUCUAGAAGAAUUGACUUUCCACCAAUUUAAUAUAUCAAAGGUGGAGCUAUACCGUUCACAUCCUUCUUCUAAAUACUUAUCUAAUUCAGAUUUUUCUUCCACAUAUUCUUGUCCCGUUUGGCUAAGAUACAUUGCAGUCAUAAUGUCCGCACCAACCACAGGAGACAUUGAAACGUUCACUGUCCUUGUCCCCUUUAAUCUCAUGUUGCUUUGAGGGCAUGUACCGGUGCGAUAUUGCUCAAAUAAUAACGUCAAAGAUUUUGUCACUCUAUCUCGCAAAGUUUCUGCCCGGUUGCCGUCAUACACUUUAUUAAUCAUCCAUUUCACAUACUCCAUCUUAUGUCGAGGGUCAAGUAUACAUGCAAUGAACCAUGUGAGAUUUAUGUUGUUCACAUUCCCAAAAUACUUAUUGAACUUGAUCUUCAUUCUCUUGGCCGUUUCUUGCAAACUCCUAUCCUCAUCCCCACAAUAUUUAUCAAUCAUCAUAUAAAUCCCAUAGACAUCUUUUGCCAUAUCAUUGCAAGUAACGUAAGAAGAGCCCGAUACUUUUAAAGUUGCAUCAUAAAACAACUUCAAGAAAGGAAGAAAUCGACGGGCAUAAUCCCAAUCAUCAUCAGUAGGCAACCCUCUCACAUUGGAAAGCUCUUCGGCAAAUCUUCUAUCCUGAAUAUCUAAUGAGAUGAAGGCAUUUCGAAACUUCAAAGCCACUUCCAACAUCAGGUAUGUUGAAUUCCACCGAGUCUCCACAUCCAAACAUACACGAUUAUUGGAAUCAAUAUUUUCCAGUAGAAUACACUCCUUAAACCGUUGCAAUCUCGACGGAGAAGAUCUCACAUAACGUACAGCCGAGCGUAUUCUAACAAUAGAAUCAUCUAUAUCUUUCAAACCUUCUCUUACAAUCAAACUGAAAAUAUGAGCACAACAUCUCACAUAGAGUAACUCACCUGAUAAUAUCAGAGCAUUCCAAGAGUUAAGUCUUUUCUUCAAGUAUUGAACUCCCGAGUCAUUGGAGCUAGCAUUAUCAACGGUGAUAGAAAAAAUGCCUUUGAUCCCCCAACUAGUUAAGCAUUUCUCAACUCCUUUCCCUAUAAUCUCAGCCGAAUGUCCUGGGAUUUGACAAAAAUUCAAAAUUUUCUUUUGCAACUUCCAAUCAGCGUCUACAAAGUGAGCAGUAAGACACAUGUAACUUAGAUUUUGACAUGAAGUCCACGUGUCAGUCGUAAGACAAACCCUUGGAGAAGUAUCGGAAAAAAUAUUUUUUCAAUUUGCUUCUUUCCUCCAAGUAUAACUUAUAACAGUCCUCCCUUAAUGUGUUUCUUGAAGGGAUUAAAAAAUUUGGCUGAAUUCUACUCACGAAUUUCCGAAAUGCCUCAAGUUCCACAAACUUGAAGGGUAGUUCACCAAUAAUAAACAUCGCCGCUAAAUCUUUUCGACUAGCAUCUUGAUCAAAUUUCCAAGAACCAGCUGAAAUAGAACUACUAACCCAACAGAUUCAUUCGAGGCACUUCUUUGCCUUUUCUCCACGUUCGCAUAUGGAUAAUUCUUACAUCUACUUAAAUGAUUAUGCAUCCCACUAGUCCCUUAAGUAGUAGAACAACCAAUAAUAGCCCCACAAUAUAGACAUUCGGCUUUAUCUUGGCUAUUUUCUAUCCUUUUGAAGUGUUCCCAUACAACAGAUCUCUGCCUCCUUCUAUUUGUACCGCUAGAUUCACUUACUAAAGAUUCGCUCAUUGUAUAUUUGGCUUUGCAAAUGAUGUUACUGCCUUGACAGGGAGAUCUACAAAUGGCUUAUCCUGAGUAGAAAGAAACCCUUUUUAAAUUCACAAGUUUGAAAAGUUGUCUAAAGUCAUCAAUAAAUUAGAUUAAGAAAAGCCAUGAGAAUAUAUAAAAACAAAAUUUAAAUUCUAGAGCUUGCUCUCCUACCGUUAUUAUCUUGAAACAAAGCAUGAAAUAUGCAUUACCCAGUUCAUGUUUACCCCAAGUCUUAUGUAAUGAUGGUUAACUAUUAAAAGAAUCCUGGGAAUUCUCUACUAAUGACGCAGUGACAUACCUACGCCAAAAUCCCAGCUGUCUGCUUCUCCUUCCACAUUCAAGCCUCCUGCACCCGUUUUGCCAGCUCUUGCUUCUUCAAAUCAGGAGGUGGACCAUCAAAUACGUAGCUAUCAUAACAACAGCAAAACAUAAUUCAGAGAAGCACGAGCUUCAUUCUUCUAGCAUUCUAUCCCAAUGAAAACACAUGAGGUCAAGAAAAAAUUGAAACAAAGCAUGAAAUAUGCAUUACCCAGUUCAUGUUUACCCCAAGUCUUAUGUAAUGAUGGUUAACCAUUAUAAGAAUCCUGGGAAUUCUCUACUAAUGACGCAAUGACAUACCUACGCCAAAAUCCCAGCUGUCUGCUUCUCCUUCCACAUUCAAGCCUCCUGCAAUGUAUAGAUAAAAAACAUAGCUUCGGUAUCAAGGAAGAAAGCAGCAGUUUUAGCACUAAUUUUAGCACUAACUCGUAAAAUAUCCUCAAGUUUUUUAAAUAAGAAAAGUUUAAAAAGUAAGAUAUAGCAUGCCAGUAUUUGGAAAGCCAAUAAGAUAAGAGAUUGAAAUAACAACGGAUUUGGCAGAUGAAUUGACCAAGUUGCUCCACACAAAUGGAUUUGGACUCCAACUGCAGCAUUACAUCAAAAUUAGCACCAUCAAACUCCAUCCUUCAAGCACCCGAAAUUGAAAAAUCCGGGUAAGACCCAUCACAGUCCCAUAACCAAUAUCCGUAUCCUCUAAUGGAAAUCCUAUCUCUUUAACAGGCUAGAACCCGCAACACAAGAGGACGCAGCAAAAGGCGAAAUGAUAAACCAGGCUAAACCCGAAAACAUGCGACCGGCAAGUAAACAGGGAUCCGGGUCACCGACUUGGAGACGUAUCGGGUGCAAUCAGGGCAAUGCCCUCCUUCGAAGCGGCGCGUUGAGCUUCGGAUUUCACAAUGAAAUUCUCGUCCGUGCAGGUGAGCCCAGACAGCCAGUACAGCACCUGCUCAUCCACACAACAGGCCAAGCAAUUAAGGAACGACAAUCGAGCCACGUCAAUUCCGCACGCCCCACGCCACGACGGACAUACGCGCGCAAACCCACUAUUUUUCAUCCGAAUCCUCGAAAGCGGGAAGGCUAAGACACGAACUUUCCUAAUCCGCGGACGAACGAAACGAAACCCUAAUAAGCCCGGGGGGGAGAGGGACCGAGAGAUGUGAGCAUUUCAUGAUCAUUCGGCCCGAUCGGGGAUGAAGGGAUUACCUUACACGCCUGACGGGAAAUCAGUUGGUUGUCGGCUAACGUCGGAGAUCCCCAAGAUAAAGUGACGAAGGAGAGACUUUGGCCGCCCCCCAGUCCAAAGCAGAGCGCGCGCCGUCGCAGAAGGAAGAGGGGCUCUGUCCCUCAAUCGGUUGCCAUCGCCGUCGCCGUCGCAGUCACCGUCCCUACCGCCGUCGCCGUUGCAGUCGUCGUCCCUGCCGCCGUCGCCGUUGCACCUCCAAGCCAACCAAGAGGAGACACGAGACGAGAGGAGAGGGCCAGAGUCGAGACAGAAUAAAACCUAGAGUCGGGACCGACGGGACGGGAGAGAAUAAACCGAACCGAUAAGAGAGAUUUUAUCGGUUCAUGGUUCGGUUCGGUUCGGUUAACCGAUAAAAACCGAACCGAUAAAAGAGAUUUCGGUUUUUAACGAGAACCGAACCAAAAACCGAACCGAACCGAAAAAACCGAUUUUUUCGGUUCGGUUCGGUUCGGUUUUCGGUUCAGUUCUUGACACCCCUAAUGGAGACAUCAACGGGAGACGUUUCUAACUCUACGACGGUCACCUUUAUAUGCCGUCAAAUGAGCCUAUAUUCUUAGUCGAGACGAUAUGAUUGAAGAGCACUAGCCUAACCUCUAGAGUGUACCUGUUGUUGAGGCCCUUCUAACCUCUAGAGUAUCAAUCGAUUCGCAAUUAUCAUUGUGGCAAAGCUUCUGUGCAACUUGUGUGAUGAUAUGUAUCCUCGUAUCAUCAUCGCAGCUCUUGUCAAUAGAGCUAAUAGCAAUAUUUGUUGAGUCUGGGAUACCUGGAGUGUCAAAACUCAGCACAAAAAAAAUUACAUAAGUGCCAAAAGUUAGGAAAGUAAUACUUAAGUGUUAAAAUCGGAGUAAAAUAAAUCAGUUAAGAAAUCUUACCAAAACACUGAAGUGGAGAUUUUUCGGCAAGCCAAGCACAAACAACGUCAUUUUGCACGUUGAUGUGGGUAAAUAAUCAAUAUAAAAAUUAAAUAAAUUUAAUUUAAAAUCAAUUUUUAAAAAAAAUGGAAGAUGAAGGUAGUUAGUGGUGAGGGCUCAGCCCUUGUCGCCGCUGCCUCCCAGCCGUCACCAGAAAGGUGUGGGGAGGGUCAGUCAGAGUCACUUAGCCCUGGCCAGGGGCCGGCGACCCCUGCCUAUUCUCCCCUCACCUUUCUAGCGAUGAUAGGGAGGCAACAACAGCAGUUGGUUACCUCCAUCUUUCUUUCUUUUUUUUAAAGAAAAAAUUGAUUUUAAAUUAAAUUAAAUUAAAUUUUUAUAUUAAAAUAUGAAUUGUGCCAAAACAACGUGAUUUUUGUAUUUCUUUGCUAAGUCAGCAUUACGACAAAUUAUGUAAGCCAACAAAAUUAAUAAAAAAUUAUCACGUAAGAUUUCCGGUGGGAUUUGCUAAAUGUGGCACCAAAGUAUCCAUUUUUUCAAAAAAAAGUGACAGUUAAGUGUAACUUUACUAAUUUUUAAUACUUAAAUGUCAUCUCAUGCCAAGUUUUGGCACUUAUGGUGUUCUUUUGCCAAUAUUUAUUCUUGAACUAACAUCAUGUGCAGGCUCAAUCUUCCUAACCAGCACGAAAUGUGAAAGUCGACGUAGGUAUCGCAACUUGCGACUGCUCCGAAGAUCAUCCUUUUGCUCAAUCGAUUUCGGAAAGGGCUUUGUGCCCGACGCGGGAAACUAUUGGGUGAGCGCACAUACCACGCCUCAUCAGCUAACAAGCUGUUAUCAAACUUGAUUGAAUGAUCUCAUCCAUUGGACGUCUACAAAACGGAGAAAUUCUCUAAGUUCAGUCAUAUUAAACAAUCCCGACAUGCUGUUUACUUGGUUUGGUAUAAAGCAUUGCAGUCAAAGAUGGGAGUCCGUUCAAUGAGGGUUCAUCUUACUCCUCGAUUUCACGGAUACUUGGCUGAUGCAUGAGUCGUCUGGUUUUCCAUGCAGAAUUCUUUCUGUUUUUUUACAUCCUAACUUUUAUAUUAAAAGACCAAAUUUCAUCUCACCUCAUAUUAUCAAAUUCUCUCAACAUAUGCACAUGAAAAUUGGAAAUGCUUUUCCGAAUUGAAGAAAUAUGUUUCAUAAGGACAACAGAGCAAUGUGUCUUGUGAACAAACAUCAUCAUUGGAUUGGACGUAACGGUUAAUUUCCAACCGACAUAUUGCCCAAAAAGUUAACAUUCAUUAAAAAGAAAUUCUACUAAUGUUUAAUCACAACUUUUCAUGAAUUUCGAGUUUCGACAUUAUUGUAGGCUUUUUAGAUCUAGGUAAACUACUUCUAAGCACCAUCUCACUGCAUCAUCACUGACGUUCUAGCAAAGUGCUGCCACGAAUGUGCAUUUCAACCGCUAGAUCUAGUAAACAAGAUUUUUAUACAUAAGAGUUCCAUACCUUUAACGGUCAAAGCGUUCGGAUUUGUGACUCAUGGUGGCUUUAUGAUGCCUAAGUUAGUAGUUAUUACAGAGAGAGAGAGAGAGAGAGAGAGAGAGAGAGAGAGAGAGAGAGAGUAGUUGCGGGUUGGGUGGCAAUUAUGCUAACCUCGGUGGAUGAACGGGCUCUCGGUCUUUGGGUAACGAUUCUACCGUCAUCUCCUGUAAUGAGCUUAGCUUCUUUAGGGAGAACGUUUCAACCAAGGUCACGCCGGCCGCCUUCAACUGGCCUGCAUGUCAUGUCCGACGGCGGCUGUUUUCCUCUCCGGCAUGUCCAGGACACGUGUCGAUCGCUCGUAGGUAUUGUUAAAUCUGUCGUUAAUCAUCACACCUAAUGUAGAUCCACAGAUAUGAAAGCCUGUAAGAACUAUGCGCGACGAAAACUUGAGUCGCUGUUGGAAAAUAAAUGGUGCCCAUUGACUAGUAGUAGAAGUCUAUGGCGAGCUCACCGUCUUCUUCGUCAACUGGAUCGGAACUAGGAAAGGGAUUAUGGUCAAAACUGAAGGCUUUUUGUGAAGACAAUAACGUGGAAAAUUUCCAGGAAAUGUGAUGAAUGGACCGCUUUUCCUUAUACCUUGUUUUUAUAUGUGUGUUCCAACGUUACGUGUAUUUAUGAGAAUUUAUUAACUGGAAAAGUUCAAAAUUUGCCAACUCACAUGCUUUGAAAUUUGACCGACCAAAAAAAAAAAAAAAAACAUACUUUGAAAUUUCUGAUAUCCAAAACUUCGGAAAUUUUGGUCAUGAUCCAAUAUUUAUAUGUAAAUUUACAUAUUACAUUUUCAUAAUUUCUGGAAAUCUUAAUAAUAUAUUUCAAAUUUUGGCAAUGUUUGCACGUUCUCUGUCUUUUUUUUCUGGAAGAAUUUGCCGCCCUUUAGGAGCUUUAUCCAGAUAUUCCCCUUGGGUUUAUGCAGUAAUAGUAUUGCAAAAAAAGUUUAUUCGGAGUUAUUUGACUAUGCUGCAAGGUAAAUAAUCUUAAGUAGAAGCUUUAAUUAGUACGUAUCUUCUAUUGGUGUAUGGUAUUAUUUAUGCAAAAUUACAAUUCUUCGCAUUAAAGCGUCAGGCAUGACACUUAAAAUAGAUGAGACAGCGUGUGGAUGUUUUCCUUUUAAGGACAAUAAAUAAACUAGGACCGAUCUUGAUGAGGUAUAAUUUUGGCCACUUGAUAGUUGGACUCUUAUGUCACACGGUACAAACCACUUGCAAUGACUUUGGACUCUUAUGUAUCUGAUAGUGAUACAUAGUAGUGACCUUUAUGGUCUUGGAUUUAGAACAUAUCCUGUCGUCCAUGAGAACAAGGGAGCUUGUUUAUUAAAGAUAGAAAAUCUCCAUGGGAUGAUCAACUUAACAUAAUCAAAUUCAUGAUUUGUCACUUUAAACCCGAGAGAAAAACUUUAUAAAUAGCCACCUAAUGGAAAGCAAAACGUGCCAAGCCAGAGCUACCAAAUACCUCUCCAAUAUUCAUAAUGAGGAAGGCCUUUCUUCUUGCUUGCGCUCUUUUGAUGUUGUUCGCUCUUCUCUUCCUUCCUUCCACCGAAGCUCGAGCACUCCUUCAAAAAGGUGAACUCAACAUCUCUCUCUCUCUCUCUCUCUUCAUUAUUUCAAAUCGAUGUGUAUUAGCUGAAGAAAUAUAAUGAAUCAUCAACAUGAUAAUGUAAACAGGACCGUUAGACCAGCCGCAGCCAGGAUGCGGACGACAACCUGGGGGCAGGUAUACACCGUGCCCAGUGAAACCAUCUCCGCCAACGAAGUGUGGUCUUUAUGUUCGUCAAUGCCGUCCGCCAGUUAUCCCCAAAGGGCCAUGAAUCCAGGGAGCUAAGUUAAGCUGCUCAUGACAGCAAAAUUGCACCAUAAUAUGAAGUACUUUCACGACACUGUCAUCGUGAAUAAAUAAAGAAGCUGAGUGAAGUCAGUCACUUGAUGAAGCCUUGUUUCAAUACCUAAAAACGAAUUAAGGAUGAAUACUAUGUAGAGGAUGCAACUUAAUGUAUGAAACAAUAAAGGAAUGAAUGAAUCGUCCAGUUUAUGGUAUGUAUCUUUUGAAAGGAAAAGGGAACAGCGACAGAGCUUGUCACAGGCU